AGCCUGAUGCAGCCAUGCCGCGUGUGUGAAGAAGGCCUUCGGGUUGUAAAGCACUCAGUCGUGAGGAAGGUAGUGUAGUUAAUAGCUGCAUUAUUUGACGUUAGCGACAGAAGAAGCACCGGCUAACUCCGUGCCAGCAGCCGCGGUAAUACGGAGGGUGCGAGCGUUAAUCGGAAUUACUGGGCGUAAAGCGCAUGCAGGUGGUUUGUUAAGUCAGAUGUGAAAGCCCGGGGCUCAACCUCGGAAUAGCAUUUGAAACUGGCAGACUAGAGUACUGUAGAGGGGGGUAGAAUUUCAGGUGUAGCGGUGAAAUGCGUAGAGAUCUGAAGGAAUACCGGUGGCGAAGGCGGCCCCCUGGACAGAUACUGACACUCAGAUGCGAAAGCGUGGGGAGCAAACAGGAUUAGAUACCCUGGUAGUCCACGCCGUAAACGAUGUCUACU
RNAcentral lists this ribosomal RNA (443 nucleotides) under Vibrio sp. 5U4,1 18. RNAcentral's name for it is "bacterial SSU rRNA". It matches the Rfam family "Bacterial small subunit ribosomal RNA", at positions 380 to 817 of the family's 1533-position model. The record is from RNAcentral. Lineage: Bacteria; Pseudomonadati; Pseudomonadota; Gammaproteobacteria; Vibrionales; Vibrionaceae.